Non-coding RNA from Kogia breviceps (pygmy sperm whale), 441 nucleotides. The record is from RefSeq and is a predicted model, not a curated record. NCBI's taxonomy places the organism in Eukaryota, Metazoa, Chordata, Mammalia, Artiodactyla, Physeteridae.
GGUGCUCGCGCACCUGAAAGAGCAGGAACAAGCCUCCCGGCCAGUUGUCUCAAGAGGUUUUCUGCGGAUCUUGGCACUGAAACCCCGUUCUAACCCACUGCGGCCCUCCUGGGUCCUUAGUGAUUUCAGAAGAUCAGAUUAGACUCCUCUGCACGGUGGCUUAGCUAGACAUCCAACAAAGGAAGAGAGAAGGUGGCAUGACUGAAAGCAAAAAAGAGAACAUUAAUACAAAGUCAAUGAAUCCUGAUGCCUCCCAACUCGGUUUUUACAGAUGAGAAGGGAAGAGAACUGAAUGAAGGAGUUGUUUAGCCAGGCUGUGCACCGUCUCUAGAUCCGGAUGGCACACAUAUCCCGUGUUCUCUGCAACCUGACUAAGCAUGGCUAAGAGCCUCUUCACGCAGUCCGUGCAGCUCACAAAGCACUUCCCUAAGAGAUGGAGUU